RNAcentral lists this long non-coding RNA (335 nucleotides) under Sorghum bicolor (sorghum). RNAcentral describes it as "long non-coding RNA (SBIC_LNC003425)". The record is from RNAcentral. Lineage: Eukaryota; Viridiplantae; Streptophyta; Magnoliopsida; Poales; Poaceae.
CCUUGAGAAAGUAGCGGCGUCGUGCUCAUGCAUUUAUCAACCUUCCUGUCUCGUAUAUCCCCCUGUCCUCAUCAGACCAUCAGUACCAGCAACUAACCGCAGGUGAUCCCCAGAAUAAGGCCGGGGUCUCCGACGAGGGGCGGACACCAUAUCCAUCCUGCCGAUCCGGCCUGUCAUGUGUCGCCAAUCCGGCGGCCUAUCAUGGAGGAGAACUGAGAAGGAACUGGAGAAUCGCCAGCAGAUCAGCGUCUGAAACUAGUCCAUGCUAUAGUUCAAAACAAAAAUAGCAUGUCAGGAUUUCGUAAACUAGUACCUACUGCUAGGUGUACAAAAAG